This 810-nucleotide ribosomal RNA is filed under the name uncultured archaeon. RNAcentral's name for it is "bacterial SSU rRNA". It matches the Rfam family "Archaeal small subunit ribosomal RNA", at positions 85 to 879 of the family's 1478-position model. The record is from RNAcentral.
ACGGCUCAGUAANCACGUGGCUAAUCUGCCCUUAGGACGAGAACAACCCCGGGAAACUGGGGCUAACUCUUGAUAGGCGAAGAACUCUGGAAUGAGUCUUUACCUAAAAAGAUUCACGUUAUCCUCGUGAACCUGCCUAAGGAUGAGGCCGCGACCGAUCAGGUUGUUGGUGAGGUAAUGGCUCACCAAGCCUUUUACCGGUGCGGGCCGUGGGAGCGGGAGCCCGGAGAUGGGUACUGAGACAAGGACCCAGGCCCUACGGGGCGCAGCAGUCGCGAAACCUUUGCAAUACACGAAAGUGUGACAGGGCUAUCCCGAGUGCCAUCCGCUGAGGAAGGCUUUUACCCAGUCUAGAACGCUGGGGGAAUAAGGAGAGGGCAAGUCUGGUGUCAGCCGCCGCGGUAAUACCAGCUCUCCGAGUGGUGUGGAUGUUUAUUGGGCCUAAAGCAUCCGUAGCUGGCUAGGUAAGUCCCUUGUUAAAUCCACCGAAUUAAUCGUUGGAUCGCGGGGGAUACUGCUUGGCUAGGGGACGAGAGAGGCAGACGGUAUUUUCGGGGUAGGGGUGAAAUCCUAUAAUCCCGGGAAGACCACCAGUGGCGAAGGCUGUCUGCUAGAACGCGCCCGACGGUGAGGGAUGAAAGCUGGGGGAGCGAACCGGAUUAGAUACCCGGGUAGUCCCAGCUGUAAACGAUGCAGACUAGGUGUUUGGACGGCCACGUGCCGUUCUAGUGCCGCAGGGAAGCUGUUAAGUCUGCCGCCUGGGGAGUACGAUCGCAAGAUUGAAACUUAAAGGAAUUGGCGGGGGAGCAC